UGCCAACUGAAGAUAUGGGUACCUCUGGAGGUAUUCCAGCUGAUGUUGUGCAACCUAAGCCUAUGUUGGAAGUUGAGUUGCCAACUGAUGAUAUUCCAGCUGAUGUAGUGCCAACCGAGCCUAUAUUGGAAGUUGUGUUGCCAACUGAUGAUAAUGGGCCCGAUGAUAUUGCAACUAUUGUGGUGCAAAAUGAGGGUCAAGCUGCUGUUCCAGGCAGUCCAGUGAAGAAAACCAAGAGCUUGAGUGAACUGGGUGUUGUACAAUAAAAAAUAAGCACUCAUAAAAAGAAGAAGAAAAUGAGUGGUAAGGAGAAGCUGAAGUGAAAAUUUGUUCAAACUUGUGUAUCGGUACUAUGUUGUAAAAAUAAAACCUUGCGUGAAUAUGUGUAAUGGUAUUUUUACUUUGACAUCAUAUGUAUUGUGUAAUACUAUUUAAGUUUGAG
This 442-nucleotide long non-coding RNA is filed under the name Hordeum vulgare. RNAcentral describes it as "long non-coding RNA (HVUL_LNC007184)". The record is from RNAcentral. Lineage: Eukaryota; Viridiplantae; Streptophyta; Magnoliopsida; Poales; Poaceae.